RNAcentral lists this ribosomal RNA (293 nucleotides) under uncultured bacterium. RNAcentral's name for it is "partial 16S ribosomal RNA". It matches the Rfam family "Archaeal small subunit ribosomal RNA", at positions 455 to 747 of the family's 1478-position model. The record is from RNAcentral.
UUGCCAGCCGCCGCGGUAAUACCGGCAGCCCGAGUGAUGGCCGAUCUUACUGGGCCUAAAGCGUCCGUAGCUGGCUGCGCAAGUCCGUCGGGAAAUCCACUCGCCCAACGAGUGGGCGUCCGACGGAAACUGCACAGCUUGGGACCGGGAGGCCUGAGGGGUACGAUCGGGGUAGGAGUGAAAUCCUAUAAUCCCGCACGGACCACCGAUGGCGAAAGCACUUCGAGAAAACGGAUCCGGCAGUGAGGGACGAAAGCCAGGGUCUCCAACCGGAUUAGAUACCCCAGUAGUCC